RNAcentral lists this ribosomal RNA (194 nucleotides) under uncultured bacterium. RNAcentral describes it as "partial 16S ribosomal RNA". It matches the Rfam family "Bacterial small subunit ribosomal RNA", at positions 1307 to 1500 of the family's 1533-position model. The record is from RNAcentral.
GCAACUCGACUGCAUGAAGCUGGAAUCGCUAGUAAUCGCGAAUCAGAGUGUCGCGGUGAAUACGUUCCCGGGCCUUGUACACACCGCCCGUCACACCAUGGGAGUUGGAAGCACCCGAAGUCGGUGACCUGACCGAAAGGGAGGAGCCGCCGAAGGUGAAGCCAGCGACUGGGGUGAAGUCGUAACAAGGUACC